AGUGAACGCUGGCGGUAGGCCUAACACAUGCAAGUCGAACGGCAGCACAGUAAGAGCUUGCUCUUACGGGUGGCGAGUGGCGGACGGGUGAGGAAUACAUCGGAAUCUACUAUUUCGUGGGGGAUAACGUAGGGAAACUUACGCUAAUACCGCAUACGACCUACGGGUGAAAGCAGGGGAUCUUCGGACCUUGCGCGAUUGAAUGAGCCGAUGUCGGAUUAGCUAGUUGGCGGGGUAAAGGCCCACCAAGGCGACGAUCCGUAGCUGGUCUGAGAGGGUGAUCAGCCACACUGGAACUGAGACACGGUCUAGACUCCUACGGGAGGCAGCAGUGGGGAAUAUUGGACAAUGGGCGCAAGCCUGAUCCAGCCAUACCGCGUGGGUGAAGAAGGCCUUCGGGUUGUAAAGCCCUUUUGUUGGGAAAGAAAAGCAGCAGGUUAAUACCCCGCUGUUCUGACGGUACCCAAAGAAUAAGCACCGGCUAACUUCGUG
This 492-nucleotide ribosomal RNA is filed under the name uncultured bacterium. RNAcentral describes it as "partial 16S ribosomal RNA". It matches the Rfam family "Bacterial small subunit ribosomal RNA", at positions 29 to 507 of the family's 1533-position model. The record is from RNAcentral.